Delphinapterus leucas (beluga whale) is the source of this 1797-nucleotide non-coding RNA. The record is from RefSeq and is a predicted model, not a curated record. NCBI's taxonomy places the organism in Eukaryota, Metazoa, Chordata, Mammalia, Artiodactyla, Monodontidae.
GGUGGUGCGGCGGCAGCGGCUCCAGCCUCGUUCCGGGGUCCCUUUCGGGGCUGACGCCCGCAAAUAUGCAGAAUUACCGGCCUGGUCGCUCCUAGAGCCAGCGCCGGGGAGCGAGCGCGGCGGCGGCCAGCACCGGGAACGCACCAAGGAAGAGGCCCAGCCCCCGCCCUCCGCCCCUUCCGUCCCCACCCCCUACCCGGCGGCCCAGGAGGCUCCCGGCGCGGCGGGCGCGGCGAGCGCGCACUCCCUGCUCCUCCUCCUCGGUGGCGCUGCCUGCCUCUCCGCACUCGCUGCUCGCGCCUGGCGCGCUCCGUCGGCUCCCUGCUCUCCGCGCCACCCUCCUCCGGGCCGCGCUCCCUGAGGGAUGGUACUGAAUCUCGCCGCCACAGGAGCCCGGCUGGAGCGCCCGCCCCGCGGCCUCGCCACCCCGCCGAGCCGCCAGCGCCUCGGGACGCGAUGAGGACCUGGGCUUGUUUGCUGCUCCUCGGCUGCGGAUACCUCGCCAGUGCCCUGGCCGAGGAAGCCGAGAUCCCCCGCGAGGUCAUUGAGAGGCUGGCGCACAGUCAGAUACACAGCAUCCGGGACCUCCAGCGACUCCUGGAGAUAGACUCCGGGCCGAGGAGCCUUUGGAGACCAGCCUGAGAGCCCACGGGGGCCGUGGCGCCAAGCAUGCACUGGAGAAGCGGCCUGUGCCCAUUCGGAGGAAAAGAAGCAUCGAGGAAGCCAUCCCCGCAGUCUGCAAGACCAGGACGGUCAUUUAUGAGAUACCUCGGAGCCAGGUGGACCCCACGUCUGCCAACUUUCUGAUCUGGCCCCCGUGCGUGGAGGUGAAGCGCUGUACCGGCUGCUGCAACACCAGCAGUGUCAAGUGCCAACCAUCCCGCGUCCACCACCGGAGUGUCAAGGUGGCCAAGGUGGAGUACGUCAGGAAGAAGCCAAAGUUAAAAGAGGUGCAGGUGCGGCUGGAGGAGCACCUGGAAUGCACGUGCGCGAGCGUCAGCCCGAGCCCCGGCCACCGGGAAGAGGAGGCGGAUGUGAGGUGAGGAUCAGCCAGCAGCCCUUUUCCGGGACACGGAUGUACAUGGCGUGUUACAUUCCUGAACCUACUAUGUACGGUGCUUAUUGCCAGCGUGGUCUUUGUUCUCCUCCGUGAAAACUGUCUCCAUGCACACUCUGGAGAACAAAGAGACAGUAUACGUUGUUUAUGUGACAUCAAAGCAAGUAUUGUAGCACUCGGUGAAACAAUAAGAAGCUUCCUUGUCAAAAAAAAGAGAGCAAACAAAACCACGAAACAUGACAAACAAAACUCACUCACAAAAAUAUCUAAACAUUUGCCGGAAUGGAGGGACGCCCCGAGGGAUGGAAGUGACAGACGUCUCGGCAGACUGGAUCUCUUUCCAGGGUGGUCACAGGUGCUUUGGCCAAGGACACAGAGCCUGCUUUCUGAAGGCUGCGAUCGGAUGCCGCCGGGCUCUGCAGGGGCACGCAGGAGCCAGGAAUGUCUCGGAAACCACAUCUCCUUGCUGUAGUGUUUAAGUCUAUACAGAAACCUUCCUGAGAGCCUUAAGUGGAUUUUUUUUUACACCAUAAAGUGAUUAUUAAGCUUUCCUUUCUACUCUUUGCCUAGCUUUUUUUUUUUUUUUUUUUUUUAAUUAUCUCUUGGAUGACAUUUACACCGAUAACACCAGGCUGCAGUAACAGUCAGGACGGUGGGACGGUACCUUUCCUAGCAGGAUGCAAACAAAUGAGAUGUAUUAAAAUAAACAUGGUAUACCCACCUAUGCAUCAUUUCCUAAA